RNAcentral lists this transfer RNA (77 nucleotides) under Candidatus Peribacteria bacterium RIFOXYA1_FULL_56_14. RNAcentral describes it as "tRNA-Pro". It matches the Rfam family "tRNA". From Rfam's summary of the family: Transfer RNA (tRNA) molecules are approximately 80 nucleotides in length. Their secondary structure includes four short double-helical elements and three loops (D, anti-codon, and T loops). The record is from RNAcentral. RNAcentral also lists the same sequence under 9 other names. Lineage: Bacteria; Candidatus Peregrinibacteriota; Candidatus Peribacteria.
CGGGGCGUAGUUCAGUUGGCUAGAAUGCUUGCAUGGGGUGCAAGUGGUCGCUGGUUCGAGUCCAGUCGCCCCGACCA